This 427-nucleotide ribosomal RNA is filed under the name uncultured bacterium. RNAcentral describes it as "partial 16S ribosomal RNA". It matches the Rfam family "Bacterial small subunit ribosomal RNA", at positions 355 to 774 of the family's 1533-position model. The record is from RNAcentral.
UGGGGAAUAUUGCACAAUGGGCGCAAGCCUGAUGCAGCCAUGCCGCGUGUAUGAAGAAGGCCUUCGGGUUGUAAAGUACUUUCAGCGGGGAGGAAGGCGAUAAGGUUAAUAACCUUGUCGAUUGACGUUACCCGCAGAAGAAGCACCGGCUAACUCCGUGCCAGCAGCCGCGGUAAUACGGAGGGUGCAAGCGUUAAUCGGAAUUACUGGGCGUAAAGCGCACGCAGGCGGUCUGUCAAGUCGGAUGUGAAAUCCCCGGGCUCAACCUGGGAACUGCAUUAGAAACUGGCAGGCUAGAGUCUUGUAGAGGGGGGUAGAAUUCCAGGUGUAGCGGUGAAAUGCGUAGAGAUCUGGAGGAAUACCGGUGGCGAAGGCGGCCCCCUGGACAAAGACUGACGCUCAGGUGCGAAAGCGUGGGGAGCAAACA